Molecule: ribosomal RNA, 785 nt
Filed under: Bryostigma muscigenum
Lineage: Eukaryota; Fungi; Ascomycota; Arthoniomycetes; Arthoniales; Arthoniaceae
Description: mitochondrial SSU rRNA
Rfam family: Bacterial small subunit ribosomal RNA
Source: RNAcentral
CCGGUUUUUUAAACAGGUUAAAUUAGUCCAAAAGACGAAAGCUAAUUGAAGUUUUUAGCGGUUUAUCCGCAUAAAGAUCUGAUAGGACACUGAUAAUGACAAUGUUCUAUAAAAGUCUUGACUAAAUCACGUGCCAGCAGUCGCGGCAAUACGGGAAAGACGAGUGUUAUUCAUCUUUAUUAGGUUUAAAGGGUACCUAGACAGUAUAUUUUUCUUCAUAAGAACAUUUAUGCUAGAGUUUUAUGUGAGAGGGUUUUAGUACUAACGGAGUAGAGAUAAAAUUUUUUAAUACUGUUGGGCACUGAUAACGGCGAAGGCAGACCUUUAUGUAAAAACUGACGUUGAGGGACGAAGGCUUGGGUAGCAAACAGGAUUAGAUACCCUAAUAGUCCAGGCAGAAAAUGAUGAGUGCCAUAGAUUAGAGUAAUUUUGAUCUAUAAAUGAAAGUGUAAGCAUUCCACCUCAAGAGUAAUGUGGCAACGCAGGAACUGAAAUCAUUAGACCGUGUCUGAAACCAGUAGUGAAGUAUGUUAUUUAAUUCGAUGACCCGCGAAGAACCUUACCACGAAUUGUAUAUAGUAGCAAAUUUAAAACAACAUUGUUUUACUAGGAAUCUUUUAAAUAAGAAGGUUAUUUAUACAAGCGCUGCAUGGCUGUCUUAAGUUAAUGUCGUGAGAUGCAGGUUAGCUCCAUUAAAUUAACGUAAACCCUCAUCACACUUUUGGUGUGGUGGUUCUCUGGUAUAUCGGAAAGAUAAGUGGGAACAAGACAAGUACUCAUGGCCU